UCGUCUCAGAGCAGAUUUCAGCCGCGCUCCUCCUCUUUAAGUUGACUUUAAAUACUUUCCAACAAGUCCACGUCCACCUGAAACCGCCUGAAGCGUCCCCGAAGAGGUGGACUUUAACCCGGCGGGUUUGUUUUGGUGUCGCUUUGCUCGCAGAGGAAGAUUCUGGACGUUAAUGUCCGGAGCUGGUCUCUCGGUGAAGCAGCUAGCGGAGACAUGCAGCACCGCUGCAGCCGCUGCGCCGCUCCGAUCCAGAGACAAGCUAAAGGCUACAAGCGGAAGUCCCUGUUAUCCAUCACCGACCUGAGGAGCGCGCACAGACUCUUCCCGGACCUGAACCCGCAGGAGGCGUUUUUCUGUUUCUCCUGCGUCCGACACGUUUAUCAGAACACGAAGAAAUGUGGGAAGAAGCGGGUUUAUGUGGACCCUCAUCCCCCGACCCGCCCGGCCCCUCCGGCCCGGCCCGCCCCCUCUGCCCCGGGGGGACCCACCUCCUCCCAAAAAGCUCAAGAGGAGACUCCGAACUGCGCUGAACGAACAUGACUACGCGUCCCGGGACCCGGCGCCCUCCGCGCGGACCGAACCCCCGCAGGGUCGGCGGGUCCGCCGCGGGCCGAUCUCUCAGGUGUGCGGGUACCUGCGGAGGAAGAACUUCACCUGCGCGCUGAACAGACUGCUGCAGGUGUCCGGCUUCAAGGAGGCUCUGAUCCGGCUGUGUGGGAAACUCAUCUCCACCGAGCGUAAAGAGAUGGUGAACGAUCUGGACGGUCCGUUCAGGAAGACCUUCAGCCCUGAGAACCUGUCCGCGUUCAGCUGGGAUAAGACUACUUCCUGGGCCGAGGAGAAGGCCCCCCUGACUGUGGCCUGUCUCAGGUCCAUGUUCCCCCCCGCCAAGAAGAUCCAGAAACAGAUCGUGAACUACAGCCCAGGGAACAAACCCCGGCGGAUGUCGGACGAGGAGGCGAAGCAGAUGCUGGACCGGAGGAUCGGCCUCCUGCUCUCGGUGCCGCUGUACACCAGCACCCUCAGGGCCUGCUUCCUCCAGACGGCCUUCAGCGUGGAGAUGCUGCGACACCGCUGCCCCGUCAAAGUCUUCGGCAUCAUGAACGGCCUCGGCAUCUCGCAGUCCAAAACCACCGCCAGGGUCCACGCCAAGAAGCUCGCCGAGGAGCACGGCAGGCAGGUGAAGCAGUGGAGGGACGAGAUCCAGAUGACGAGAAAGACGCAGUACUGCAGCGUCGACUCCGGGAAGGCGGCGGCUUACACCUUCACCUGGGGGAACGUUCGGGUGCCGUCUUUGUCCCGGUCCGACUCGGCGGAACGAGGCUACGGCUUCGCGACGUGGGCGUUUCGCUUCGCUCAUCGAGUUCGGAUUAACUUCCGUAACCUGCACGGACCUCCGGCGAAAGCAGCGGACGUGUCUCCGUCCAGCAUCCUGCCGUCCAAACAGGUGCGCGCACUUUAAAAGGAGCCAAUCGGAGAGCUGUUUUCUAACAGGGACGGUUCAUGAUCUGUAGAACUGACUGACACGCAGCUAGUUAACGUCUGACGUCUGCGAGCUUCACUGUUAAUAUCUGUAUUAAUGACCCCGCGGGUUUUACAGCUUUUAUACAUCCAGAGAACUUCUGCAGACGCCAGACCAGGCGUCUCAUGGCGGCCGGAAACAAUACGCUGAUGAUGUCACUGAUCAUCAAUACAGAAUUUAGGCAAAUAAAUAUUAAAGUCAUAGUGACGGAUCAGAAAACUCAGUUUCAUGUGAAACGACCCAAAGAGCCUCCUCUUCCUCCUCCUGCUGCUCCUCUUCCUCCUCCUGCUGCUCCUCCUCCUCCUGCUGCUCCUCCUCCUGCUGCUCCUCUUCCUCCUCCUCUUCCCUUCCUCCUCCUCUUCCUGCUCCUCCU
Micropterus salmoides (largemouth bass) is the source of this 1895-nucleotide RNA transcript. RefSeq lists it as uncharacterized. The transcript has 6 exons. NCBI's taxonomy places the organism in Eukaryota, Metazoa, Chordata, Actinopteri, Centrarchiformes, Centrarchidae. The record is from RefSeq and is a predicted model, not a curated record.